Molecule: transfer RNA, 85 nt
Filed under: Hypoxylon cercidicola
Lineage: Eukaryota; Fungi; Ascomycota; Sordariomycetes; Xylariales; Hypoxylaceae
Description: tRNA-His
Rfam family: tRNA
About the family: Transfer RNA (tRNA) molecules are approximately 80 nucleotides in length. Their secondary structure includes four short double-helical elements and three loops (D, anti-codon, and T loops). Further hydrogen bonds mediate the characteristic L-shaped molecular structure. tRNAs have two regions of fundamental functional importance: the anti-codon, which is responsible for specific mRNA codon recognition, and the 3' end, to which the tRNAs corresponding amino acid is attached (by aminoacyl-tRNA synthetases). tRNAs cope with the degeneracy of the genetic code in two manners: having more than one tRNA (with a specific anti-codon) for a particular amino acid; and 'wobble' base-pairing, i.e. permitting non-standard base-pairing at the 3rd anti-codon position.
Source: RNAcentral
GGUGGUAUAGUAUAGUGGAUAGUACAACACGUUGUGGUCGCAUACUGAUACCGUGUAGACCUGGGUUCGAUUCCCAGUACCGCCA